AAGAUUUUCGUUUUCAUUUCCUCUCCUCUUCUCGUUGACAAAAAACGGACAAGUAUAUUCUCGAACAAAAGAAGGGAGAAAAAACGAAAGAAAAAGGGAGAGAAGAGGACGUCUUAAUCUGAAAGGC
Non-coding RNA from Caenorhabditis elegans, 127 nucleotides. NCBI's taxonomy places the organism in Eukaryota, Metazoa, Nematoda, Chromadorea, Rhabditida, Rhabditidae. The record is from Ensembl.